Myxocyprinus asiaticus (Chinese sucker) is the source of this 445-nucleotide long non-coding RNA. RefSeq lists it as uncharacterized. NCBI's taxonomy places the organism in Eukaryota, Metazoa, Chordata, Actinopteri, Cypriniformes, Catostomidae. The record is from RefSeq and is a predicted model, not a curated record. The transcript is spliced from 3 exons.
GUGGAGACUUAUCAGCCACAGCCUGCUGGUGAAGUCAGCCUGCAGUGCAUUGAAGAGCCAAACCCACUGCCACACAGGGCCCUGUGAAAAUAACCAUGCCGGCAGAAAUGAACAAGGGCGGAGGGCAGGGCCGGAGGACUGCCUCCGAUCCGCCCGGGGAGGCGUGGCUGUCAUCCACUAGAAGGUGGAGGAGUGGCCGAGGACCAGGCUACGGCGUAUCGGAGAACCAGCCAAUCCAGGAAGACGGGGAUGACCUGCCGGCAGACGGGAAGUGGGGGGAUGUACGUCAUGCCGGGGGCUCCCCGGCCUGAGAGAACGAGGGAGGAAUGUGGCAGGCGGAGGGCGGGGCCAGGUCAUGAUUCCGCACACCCGGCCCCGAAUUAGACUGAUUAAGCCCGAGAGGGAUAAGGCCGACUGGAGACGGCAGUGUGACAGAGAGAGAGUU